GACGAACGCUGGCGGCGUGCCUAAUACAUGCAAGUAGAACGCUGAAGAGAGGAGCUUGCUCUUCUUGGAUGAGUUGCGCACGGGUGAGUAACGCGUAGGUAACCUGCCUUGUAGCGGGGGAUAACUAUUGGAAACGAUAGCUAAUACCGCAUAACAAUGGAUGACACAUGUCAUUUAUUUGAAAGGGGCAAUUGCUCCACUACAAGAUGGACCUGCGUUGUAUUAGCUAGUAGGUGAGGUAAUGGCCCACCUAGGCGACGAUACAUAGCCGACCUGAGAGGGUGAUCGGCCACACUGGGACUGAGACACGGCCCAGACUCCUACGGGAGGCAGCAGUAGGGAAUCUUCGGCAAUGGGGGCAACCCUGACCGAGCAACGCCGCGUGAGUGAAGAAGGUAUUCGGAUCGUAAAGCUCUGUUGUAAGUCAAGAACGGGUGUGAGAGUGGAAAGUUCACACUGUGACGGUAGCUUACCAGAAAGGGACGGCUAACUACGU
Molecule: ribosomal RNA, 496 nt
Filed under: uncultured bacterium
Lineage: Bacteria
Description: partial 16S ribosomal RNA
Rfam family: Bacterial small subunit ribosomal RNA
Source: RNAcentral